CAGCCGCCGCGGUAAUACGUAGGGGGCGAGCGUUGUCCGGAAUUACUGGGCGUAAAGGGUGCGUAGGCGGCCCUUUAAGUCGGAUGUGAAAGCCCGCGGCUUAACCGCGGAAUGGCAUUCGAAACUGGAGGGCUUGAGUGUCGGAGAGGGUAGUGGAAUUCCCAGUGUAGCGGUGAAAUGCGUAGAUAUUGGGAGGAACACCAGUGGCGAAGGCGACUACCUGGACGAUAACUGACGCUGAGGCACGAAAGCUAGGGGAGCAAACAGGAUUAGAUACCCUGGUAGUCCUAGCCGUAAACGAUGGGUACUAGGUGUGGGUGGUUUCGAUACCAUCCGUGCCGUAGUUAACGCAUUAAGUACCCCGCCUGGGGAGUACGUGCGCAAGCAUGAAACUCAAAGGAAUUGACGGGGGCCCGCACAAGCGGUGGAGCAUGUGGUUUAAUUCGAAGCAACGCGAAGAACCUUACCAGGUCUUGACAUCACCUAGCAAGCCAUGGAAACAUGGCCCUCCUUCGGGACUGGGUGACAGGUGGUGCAUGGCC
RNAcentral lists this ribosomal RNA (542 nucleotides) under uncultured archaeon. Its description in RNAcentral is "bacterial SSU rRNA". It matches the Rfam family "Bacterial small subunit ribosomal RNA", at positions 509 to 1050 of the family's 1533-position model. The record is from RNAcentral.